AUCAAAUGGAAUCUGGAAAUCCUAAGGGCUGUAUUUACCUUAAAUAGAAUGCCACUUCAACUUAGAGGUUACAGUCUGGGAGGCAAUACCAGAGGCUUCAGAUCACACGAACACAGAAAGGAAAGCGACAAGGGCUGCUCUGAAAGUAGUGCCUCCUAUUUUAUUACACUGGUCCACGACAUCAUAGGCACAUGUUGGUGGUUGCUGUGUGACAGACAGCAGCAGAGGGGCAGUCUGACGGAAUGGUGUCCAACAUGGGAGUGCAGAUGAAGCAAAGCCCAACUUGCAGGUACUCCCAGUCUGCAGGUCUUCCAGAAAUGGAGCAAGGCAUCCCACUGCCACUCAGUUUGAUGGGAGAACAAAGUGAUCUACUCCUGACAGUCAUCAUCCCUAGGAUAAUGAAGCAAACAUGGAUGGUUCCUUGGCUGGUGCAGCCUUGCAAUUUCAUCUCUUGUCAAGAGUUUACUGUGGUAUGUCAGCUCUGGACUUGGACUUUAAUAAGAGUACCCUGCCUGUGAGGAGGCUGGAGGGGCACAAGGAGCUGGGAGAGGACAGAACCAGGACCCAAACUGUCAAAGGAAUAUGCCAUACCAGAAGGCAUCAUGCUGAAUAAUAAAACUGGAAUGAAUUUCC
Molecule: long non-coding RNA, 633 nt
Organism: Numida meleagris (helmeted guineafowl)
Lineage: Eukaryota; Metazoa; Chordata; Aves; Galliformes; Numididae
Exons: 4
Source: RefSeq, a predicted model, not a curated record